AGUGAACGCUGGCGGUAGGCCUAACACAUGCAAGUCGAACGGCAGCACAGUAAGAGCUUGCUCUUACGGGUGGCGAGUGGCGGACGGGUGAGGAAUACAUCGGAAUCUACUUUUUCGUGGGGGAUAACGUAGGGAAACUUACGCUAAUACCGCAUACGGCCUACGGGUGAAAGCAGGGGAUCUUCGGACCUUGCGCGAUUGAAUGAGCCGAUGUCGGAUUAGCUAGUUGGCGGGGUAAAGGCCCACCAAGGCGACGAUCCGUAGCUGGUCUGAGAGGAUGAUCAGCCACACUGGAACUGAGACACGGUCCAGACUCCUACGGGAGGCAGCAGUGGGGAAUAUUGGACAAUGUGCGCAAGCCUGAUCCAGCCAUACCGCGUGGGUGAAGAAGGCCUUCGGGUUGUAAAGCCCUUUUGUUGGGAAAGAAAAGCAGCAGGUUAAUACCCCGCUGUUCUGACGGUACCCAAAGAAUAAGCACCGGCUAACUUCGUG
RNAcentral lists this ribosomal RNA (492 nucleotides) under uncultured bacterium. Its description in RNAcentral is "partial 16S ribosomal RNA". It matches the Rfam family "Bacterial small subunit ribosomal RNA", at positions 29 to 507 of the family's 1533-position model. The record is from RNAcentral.